This is an RNA transcript of Scomber scombrus (Atlantic mackerel), 4976 nucleotides long. It is a transcript of the gene named prolyl 4-hydroxylase, alpha polypeptide III, with no coding region annotated. The record is from RefSeq and is a predicted model, not a curated record. NCBI's taxonomy places the organism in Eukaryota, Metazoa, Chordata, Actinopteri, Scombriformes, Scombridae. The transcript has 12 exons.
UAGAUCCUCACUACUGCUCAGCACACUGAGAGGAAACAGUCAAUAGCUGUGUCUCUGGCGCCAGCUUUAUUCUCUGCGCUGGAGAUGAAGUAUAUUUCAUGUGUUUACUUAAGCUGGGGUCUUCUGGCUUCAGCUGUGAUCCCCGUUUCUGUAGGUGAAAUGUAUACGUCGCUGCUGAACGUAAAGCAGGCGAUCAGUGUUGAACGCAAGCUGAUCAAUUACCUGAAAACUUACAUUGACCACGAGUUGGAUAGACUGGAGGACAUCAAACGUUUUUAUGCUAAAGUGUCUGACCUGCACGCUCAAGUUUUAAAAGGUCCUGCGACUGCAAUGACAAACCCACUGGUGGCUUUCACCCUGAUCAAGCGGCUGCAGUCAGAGUGGCUGAAUGUAGUUUACAGCAACGAAGCCAUGGAGAACACACAAGCCCUCAGGUCCAGUUACGAGGAGGAAGAGGCCGAUCUGCCCAAACUGGAAGACCUCCAGGGGGCCGCUAAGGGGCUGAUGAGGCUGCAGGAUGUGUAUGCUCUUCAAGUUCCGAGUCUUACGAUGGGUCGUUUCCAGAGAGUCACUAAUGGAAAACCUAUUGAUGUCUGCAUGCCUGCAGUGUCUGUCCCCCUAUCUGGUGAUGACUGCUUUUGGGUUGGAAAGGUGGCCUACGAGCAGGAAGACUAUUACCACUCAGUGCAAUGGCUGGAAGAGUCAGUGCGUCUCUUCAGGGGAACAGGAGGAGACUGGAGCCCUGAGAAUGAGGGGACUUUAGAGGACGCUCUGGAUCACCUGGCUUUCUCUCACUUUAAAACUGGAAACGUCUCCUAUGCUCUGAGUCUGUCUCAGGAGUUACUCCAUCAUGAUCCAAUGAAUGGAAGAGUUUUGGAGAAUGUUGAGAAAUACGAGAAGCUGCUGGUUGCAAUUCCGCCCAAAUCAAUCAGGGGUGAUGGGCUGAGGAGACCCGCUUCCAAUUAUUUAAGGACCAGAGACACUUAUGAGAGACUCUGCCAGACUCAAGGCUCCCAGCCAAUGCAUUUUAAAAACCCCAGACUAUUCUGCGACUAUUUUACCCAUGGCAGUCCUGGGCUGCUACUGCAGCCAGUAAGACGGGAAGUGCUGAGCCUGCAGCCUUAUGUGGUCCUGUACCACAACUUCAUCACUAACACAGAGGCUGAAGACAUCAAGAGAGUCGCACACCAAGGAUUGAGAAGAUCUGUUGUGGCAGCUGGAGAGAAACAAGCAACAGCAGACUUUCGCAUCAGCAAGAGUGCAUGGCUGAAGGCCUCAGCUCACUCCAUUGUUGGGAAGCUGGACCAGAGGAUCUCCAUGGUCACAGGUCUGGAUGUAAAGCAUCCAUAUGGCGAGUACCUCCAAGUGGUGAAUUAUGGGAUUGGUGGCCAUUAUGAACCUCACUUUGACCACGCUACUUCAUCUUCGAGUCCUGUGUUCAAGCUGAAAACUGGGAAUCGAGUGGCAACCUUCAUGAUUUAUCUCAGCUCUGUCGAGGCAGGUGGGUCCACAGCCUUCAUCUACGCCAACUUCAGUGUUCCUGUCGUGGAGGUAAAGGCUCUGCGGAUGUCUCAGAUGAACUAAAAGCAGCCUCUUUAUGUCUGCAUGUCAUCAUUGCCUGAAGCUAGAGCAUUUUCACCUCACUCUGCGCUUCACCCGCAUUCUCUGGUGCAGCUGUCAAAAUGCUAAAAGAGAGCUGCCAUCUUCUGGUGGAAUCUCCAUAGAAAUGGUGAAGGGGAUGUAGACACCCUGCAUGCUGGAUGCCCUGUGCUUAUUGGGGACAAAUGGGGUAAGUAAAUGGAGUCAAUUCAGCAUAUAAUGUGAAAAUGUUUCCAAAAAUAGCCAAAAUGUGAUGUUAAUAUAUAAAUAUAACAAAUCACAUGAAUUAGUGUCACAAGUUUUUGCCUCAUCAUCAUGGUCAGUCUCUGAUAGCAGUUAUCCAGUGUUCGGCAUUCUUAUUAUACAGGAGUCCAUCUACGAGAGCUAGGGCACAUCUGUGCUGCAUUAUGCAUUUAGAGAUGUCACAGAGUGCAUUUCAGACACUGAGUGCUCAUCUUGGAAGCUAAACAUCUGCUGCGUAUUGGCAGCUGAAAUGUGUGUCAGGGACCCAGUUAAACUAACAGAAGCAUAUUAAUCAUCACAAAUAAGCCACAGAAGCAUUUCCUCCCUUUAUUUGUUUCAUUAAACUGAUUCGGAAAUUAGAUAUUAAGGCUGUAGCAUAGAUAUAUGUUUCUCAAGCUGAUUAUUCAAAGGUGUAAAAGAAGCCUUAGCAAGAAUAAUUUUAUUUGUAUUGUUUUUACAAACAAUGGCAUUGCUGGCAAUGUUGGUCUGUCUGUCGAUUAGCCCAUGUCUUUGGUCCAGACUGAAAUAUCUCAGCUAUUGGAUGAAUUUCCAUGAAAUUUUUUACAGACAUUCAAUGUGUUCAGAGUGUAUAUCGUGCUGACGUGGGUGACCAUCUGAUAUUCCCUCUACUACUGCUAACAUGAAGUUGACACAGCUGUUUUUAGUGAAAUAUCUCAACCAUUAUUGCAUGGAUUGCCAUGACAUUUGGUACAGAUUUUUAUGGUGCCCCAACAAUGAGUCUUAAUGAUUUCCCUUGACUUUUCCUCUAGUACCAACAGCAAGUCAAAGAUUUCACUUAUUUAAUGAAAUAUUUAACUAUACUAUUUAACCAUAAUAUUUAUUGUUAUCAGACGAUGUUUUCUACUGACUGAUGAUCCUCACUAUGAAGUUGACAUUUAGAGUGAAACGUCUCAACAACUGUUGGACAGAUUGUUAUCAAAUGUGGCACAUUAUGCCUUGCUCAGAUUUAAUUGUAAUAACUUUUAUGACAUUCCCACUUUUCAUCUAGCGACAUCAUAAGGUCAGAAUCUAAAUUUGUUCAAUAAAGUUUUGACCAAUCGCCUGCAAAACUAAUGAUAUUCUCAUCAACUGUAACUUAACUAUGUGUUUUGAUCUAAUUAUCAAAUUAAAGCAUGUUAACAUGCUAAACUGAGAUGGUGAAAAUGGUAAACAGUAUUAAACCUUCAGUAACUUUUAUUAUUAGCAUUUAGCUGUUCCCAUGCACAGUGUCACAUAGCUGUUGGUAUGGCUGUAGACUCUAGCAUAUUUGAACAACUGUCUUUGUGUUACAGUGGCAAACAAAUGGAUCCAUGAGUACGGACAAGAGUUCAAACAUCGCUGCAGCCUGAAUCCUGAAGAGUGAGAGGGGUGGAGCAUUAGCUGGGCCCCUUGGAGUACAAGAGCCAGCCUUUACAAUUGCGAGGCACACUUGCAGGCGGAGAGUAGGAAGCAGCCAGAAAGUGAGCACACAGGCAGGGGAGGUGAGAGCUGUUGAGGGGCAGCCUGCAUCUGUGAUUGGAGCCCCAGGCCCCAGGGAGCCAGGAGCAUACAGCGGACACUGCUGCAGUGGACAUGGAUAGCACAAGGCUGAGCUGCAUUUUGGAAGGUGGGGUGGAGGAGGAGUGGGGCAGCUGGCAAUCAGCCCCAGGAGGCCAAACGCUCUCUUACUUUUACUGGCCAGUUCCUGUGGAUGGAGAGAGGCCUCUGCCUUUACACACUGUGCUGGUUUCAGUUAACUGUGCAGGGCUGUUUGCCUCUUGCCCACAGUUUGCUUACAAACUGGCAUCUUAUGCGGCACUUUUUCUACACAGGCCCUCUCUAGGUUCUGUCAAUACAAAUGUUCAACACAGCUGAACUUUGUUUGGACUCUCAGAACUUUAUUUAAAAUGUGUAGAUGGCAAAGUUUACAUAUAUCUAAUGUGCCUGGCUGAGCCACAGUGGAAUGUGUGUAAAAUGAUGCACAGAAUAAAAAUAAAUGCUGCUUUUGGAUUUGAAUAUUGACAUCAACAUAUGUGGGAUGUUUCAAUGUUUCAAUGAAGUGCUGAAACAACCAAAGAAUGUGAUACUCUACAGAGUAGAAAAUUAUUUCGUGACUUUAAGGGUAACAUUUGUGAUUAAAAACACAAUGUUUAAUGUACUUUUCACAUGCUUUUCUGUUUGGUUGGUAUGCUGCAGAUUAUCUAAAGAGAUUUUUGGUGAAAGUUCUUCUCUAAGCCAUCUUAGACCUCAGCAGUGCAGUUUAGACUGGUGCUAUGAGUCAAAAGGAACGAGUCAUUGUGAGCUUGGCUGUUUAUUCCCAGCUGACUGAGCAAUGUGGUCAUCACUGCCUGUGGGAGACUGUUACAAUUUGGUUCAUUGUAACCGACUGACUAAAUGGAACAGAUGAAGCAGAUCUGGCACUUGUUGAACUUCAGAGGCUGGUUUUCAUUAAUCAUGUUCUGCACGCCAAGUGAUAUAGCUCCCGUCUGCUUUGUCUACUUCAUGUCUGAACUCACAGAACAAACUAUGUCUGCAUACCAUUCCGAUAUCUCAGAUAUCUGUCUAAGUAGGCCAUAGCUCAUCUUAAAACUGAGUGAGGUGGGAAAUGCCCAGUAUUAAAAUUCACUGUUGUUUUUUGGGAAACCCUGCUGCUUGAUUGGCAGGGAUUGGUGAGACUGAAAAAUAAGGGUGGAGACAGAGGGAUAAUAACUCAGCUUGCCCAGAGUGAUACUGUAUACUGUAGGUUUUCCCUUCCAGCUCACCAGAGUGUACACACACAGACCCACUCCCCAUGCCCUCUUACUCACAGAAAAUAUAAGAACAGUCCAUCUACUGGAUACAUGCUGCAUAUUCCUGUGCACAGCAGGACUUGAUUAUUUUCCCUCAGAGUUGAUGGAUAAAACGUCUCUCUCCUUCUAAUAAGUUUCACUGCAAAAUGAGGUUCAUAUCACUAAAAAACACUAUAGCUACAUUUAGACUCAAGCAUUUAAGAUCUAAUUAAUUUCAAUUAAAAUAUUGGACACUAUUUUAAAAAAAGGGUUUACAACUACUGUGGUCAUAUUGAUAGAAAUACAAACUGCAGAGAUGUGUAUAGUUAUGUUUUAUUUCCUAUGCAAAUGUGUAAAUGUGUUUUUCUUUUCAUUUUGACUUGUCAA